GCUCAGCGUUGCCAUUAUGCCAGGACUGGAGCUGGAACAGGAGGCCUUGGAGAGAGUCUGGAGUGUAGCCUGGCCUGCUGUGGAGCUGCUCUGGUCGGUCUCAAGCCUCAGACAAGACAAGGACACAGUUGGGCGGCUGAGAUGCGUAACACCACGACCCGGACCACAUGCCUCUGAGUGCAAAAAGUAUUCAGAAGCUUUGCUCGAUCGCCUGUAUUUUGACUGUUUCCUCUCAUCCUGAUUUUUUUUUUAAAGAUAGUGUCUCACUUUGUAGCCCUGGUGUUAUGCCCAGAUCAAGGAGUCCCCCAAAAACCAACAAGGAGACUGAGUCCUGUAUGUAAAAGCAAAGAGCCUUUCUUCUUAUUUAAGUUUGAACUCGGACUAUCUGUGGGUCCAAUGCAUUGGUGUGGUAGGAGAGCCCUGACAUUAGUUGGGAUGAGGUUUUUAUAAUAGCAGAGAUUGGGGUUAGGUAUUUCUAAGGUUCAGCAAGCCUGAUUGGCUGACAUUUCUCUAGGGAUGUCCUGGGGGAAAGUGAUGGGUGUGUGCUAGUCCAAGGGACGUCAAGUGGUCCUAUCUACAAUGGUUGAAACAUUAGGAAUUUCCUGUGGAUGAUCUGUUCCUGGGUGGUGCCUGGGUGUGUGGUCUUUCUUGGAACCAGGAAUUGCCUUAGACUUCUGAGACUAGGGCCUCUGUUGAGCUCGGUCAUUGCUGGGUCCUACACCUGUCUGUCCUGGAACUUUCUAUGUAGACUAUGUAGACCUGUUUGACUGUGCUUUUGCCCUAUGCACUUGGUACUGAGUGACCCUAACUGUGGAACAGCACCUCCACCCAAUGGCAGACCUUUGUAGGCACCUUCACAGUGGACUCUCUGAUGGAAGUGCCAUUCAGGACAUAAAACUCAGCACGUAAACACCACCACCUGCCAAAAUGAAAAGAAACAUCUCAUCCUUCAAAGUCCAUAGUUCCAGGAAAGUCUAAAUGUACUAACCUUAUUUUUUUAGCCUCUGUAGUUCCACUAACUGUUCUUGCUAACUGAGGUCAACCCAGGGCAUGGUUUCUGUGCUUAAUGGCUCACCCUGGGAAAGUCUCCCAGCUACACUGGGGUCCUGAACAACCAGUGUAGAUGCUGGCCAGCUAUAAAAACUUUCUAUUGGCUUAAAACUUCUUUGGUGAAUACCCCACAAUAGUACUUUUGUCUGCCUGAAACUACCUUUUCUCCCUAGUGAAACAGAAUGUUCUGUAGGUUUUUUUUUGGGGGGGGGUGCAACACCCAGCUCCCAAAUAAAUACAGAGAGACUUACUCUUACUUAUGAGUGCCUGGCCUUGUCUUGGCUUGUUUCUAGCCAGCUUUUCUACCUUAAUUAACUUUAACUAUGUUUUGCCUCUGAGCUUUUUACCUUUCUUUAAUCUAUAUAUCUUUCUUUCCUUCUUAUUCCAUGACUGGUUGUGUGGAGGGUGGCUGUCCCUUGUGCCCUCCUCUCCUCCUUUUGUUGCUACUCCCCUUUCUUGUCCUUUUAUAGCCUAGAUUUCUCUUCCCAUUUAUUCCCUCUGCCUGAUACCCCCACCUAUUUCUCUCUCCUGCUGAUUGGCUCUUCAACUCUUUAUUAGACCAAUCAAGUGUUUGAGGCCGAGGAAAGUAACACAGCCUUACAGAGUUAAACAAGUGCCACGUAAAAGAACGCAGCACACCUUUGCACGAUCAAACAAAUGUUCUACGGCAUAAAUGAAUGUAACACAUCUUAAUCUAAUAGUGCACAACAGUGUGAAGACCCAAAGUUCCUCCAUUUUGUCCUCUGCCUCCUUCUUGUGUCUCGUGUAAGCUAUUUCCCAUAACACAUUCCGGUCCUCAGAAAUGGCUAGGGGCAAUAGUAACAGGGGAGCCAUCUGGAGAGUACAGAUAAUCACGGAAUGUCACCACACGAAGGUCAGCCAAUAAGGAAACUUGACAAGCAACAGGCGAGGUUCAAAAAUAAAACUUUUGAAAAAUCCCUAGAUACGAAACAAUCAGGUCUGAACCCGUCACCCCACACCCUGCCAAGGUAACUUUUUUGGGUUUUACCUUUAAAUAAUGCCCUCUAGAAGGGCGGGGCACCUCCUCUUGCUGCUGCUGUGCCCGUUGCUUUGAGGAGGUCCUUGCUGACUUGUAUUGUACACAUAAUAAAUCUUGCCUUUGCAUUUCAGUGA
Molecule: long non-coding RNA, 2184 nt
Organism: Alexandromys fortis (reed vole)
Lineage: Eukaryota; Metazoa; Chordata; Mammalia; Rodentia; Cricetidae
Exons: 2
Source: RefSeq, a predicted model, not a curated record